AAGCCUGCCAAAUACGGAGGAGAGACUCGGCUUGCCUCCCAGCUCCACACAAGCUCACUGUCCCGACAGAGCCAAACACCCAGAGCAAACUCCGGCAACCUCCCUCCUCCAAACUCCUCGAACUUCCAGCCCUAGUCUCGCAGAAAAUUGGACCCCAGGCAUUCCACUCUGGAUGAUCCUGUACCACAUCUUGCAACUGAUCUUAAGUUCUUCAGAAAGACCUUAAGAAUGUCCUUGCUUCUUCUGACCUCCAUGUGAACACUUGCCUUGUGUGAAUUCUCUGUAAAGUACUCUUUAAGAAGCUGGUUUAGCCUCCUCAGACCAAUUCUGCCCAAGAAGUUACUAGUCAUGAUUUUGAAGCCACUAAUUCUUGCGGGCUGAACUCAACCCACAAUAUCUCUUUGGCUGCAAGAAAAAUCAAUUUUAAAAUGCCAGAGAUCUGCAGAUUGCUUUGGUCUCUGAAUGCAUGCCUGUUCCUACAAUUGUAAAACAGCCAUUCACUCCAAGGCAGCACCUAUCCUUGAGAAAGAAGAUGAGAACUGUGGGAGGCCAAAGGCCCUAGGAAAUAAAUUGGAAAGGAAUGUCUGCUAACCAGAAAGGAAUUUAGUGUUGAUCCUGAAAUUUCAAAAGAAAAUUGUACCUCUAGACUUCAAAUAUUUGAUAUGAAGUAAAUAGAGAGAGAUGAUUCUACUUCAGAACCCCUCUUGGACACUCAGUUACAUGCCUCCUUCUACUAAGGUAAAAAUUGCAGUGGAGUGGUACUUCUAGAUCUAAUUAAGCAAUAUAUCCCUGUAACUGGGCCAAGGUUUAAACUUACAUG
This is a long non-coding RNA of Sarcophilus harrisii (Tasmanian devil), 820 nucleotides long. RefSeq lists it as uncharacterized. The record is from RefSeq and is a predicted model, not a curated record. The transcript has 6 exons. Lineage: Eukaryota; Metazoa; Chordata; Mammalia; Dasyuromorphia; Dasyuridae.